UAGGGAAUCUUCCACAAUGGGCGAAAGCCUGAUGGAGCAACGCCGCGUGUGUGAUGAAGGGUUUCGGCUCGUAAAACACUGUUGUAAGAGAAGAAUGACNUUGAGAGUAACUGUUCAAUGUGUGACGGUAUCUUACCAGAAAGGAACGGCUAAAUACGUGCCAC
Molecule: ribosomal RNA, 164 nt
Filed under: uncultured bacterium
Lineage: Bacteria
Description: partial 16S rRNA
Rfam family: Bacterial small subunit ribosomal RNA
Source: RNAcentral